UACAGGCGUCAAAGGCGGUGCCGACGCGGCCCGCUGCUGAGGGGCGGAGGCGGAACUGAGGCCGCAGCCAUGCGUGCCGGCGCGACCCGAGCUCGGCUGCGGGCAGCGGGGCGUGCGUCCGUGAGGGCGGCUGGAAGCCGGCGACGCCAAGAGAUGGCAGCGGCGGCGCAGCCCGGGGCGGACCAGCGGCUGAUGGCGCCGGCGAGGUCGAGCCGAGGCCUGGGUGCCGGAGCCAAGGGGGCGCGGUGGCAGGAGCUGAGGCCGGCCGUGUGGCGGCUGGCUGUGACCGGCGCGACGGCAGGGCCGGGUGCGGCGGCGGGUCCGGUAGCAGAUUUCUCCUCCUGUCCCGUUUCCUCGUCUCGUCUCCUCCUGACUUCGCCCGCCCCCUCCGCCUGCGCCGAUCUCCCGCGUGCAGGGGCGCCGUCGUCCUGCAUACUCAACGGCUCAUGUAAAAAAGCAAUCAGCUGGAGAACUCCGUCUUCACAAAGAUAUUAGUGAGCUAAACCUACCCAAGAGCACAUCAAUUUCUUUUCCCAACGGCAAGGAUGAUCUGAUGAAUUUUGAGAUUAUCGUCCGACCUGAUGAAGGAUAUUACCUAGGUGGCACUUUCGUCUUUACUUUUCAAGUAUCCCCUUAUCCUCAUGAGCCUCCAAAGGUCAAGUGCAAUACAAAGGUUUGACCUUUGGUUUGCAUAUCAGGCUUAACUUCAGUUUUUGCCCUUUGGAGCCUUGGAGGCUGCAUACCGGUUGAAAGCUUUUGCUUCCUAUUUUUGCUGCACUGUAUUGCAGUAACUGCAAGCUGCAUGCAGAAUUGCAGAUCAACAGCAAGGUUUAUGUUCCGAUGUAAUAAUUUUCAAACUUUGUCUCAGGUGUGACCUUUGGUUUGCAUAUCAGGCUUAACUUCAGUUUUUACCCUUUGGAGCCUUGGAGGCCGCAUACAGUUGAAGGAAGAAUGUGAGUAUUUAUUUCAUUGGCAAAGCUUCUCACGAAGAAAUCUAUAGUUGUUGAUUCAUCAACUGGAGGGAUAACAACAGGUCUAUUGAUUGCAAGUAUUUUUGAUUUUGGAACUCAUACAUGUCCAUUUAGAUCAAGCUGCUUCUACAAGGCAUCUCUUGAUUGUACCAGUCUUGGCCACUUGAAGGGCAGUUGCUUCUUUGACAGUAGAAAAAGUGCUUUCAUUUGUCAAUGGGAUUUAAGAUCAAUUACUCUUGGCGCAUCGUUGCCCUCUUCACCGAAGUUUCAACACCAGCGGAACUUGACAUUUGACGUGGGGCUGCAUCGUCUUGAUCUUCAGUGGAAGGGUAAGUUAACUUAGAUUUAGGGCCGAACGCGGUAACUAGGAGAACAGAUCAUAUGUGCAAGGAUUUCAUUAGAGCCAAUGCGGCCGGAUUCGUUUCCAAGUAGUAGAAGACGAUGGGACGAGCAAGUCCAAGAUCCAACCAACACACAUGAGUCCGUGACUGCCCUUUUCAUCCGUCAUCAUUUAUAUCGACGGUCCUUUUUAUGUACGCAUGCAUAUGUACAAUCACCAUCACAUGCAUGCAUUAUUAGAUAGUAAAGUAGCUGGAACUAUUUCGAUAAUCAGCAUAUAUAUAAAUGAUUAGAUGAAUGUCAAUUAAGCCAACUGCUACUCCAAUUGGAGUAAAUAAUUAUAUCGAUCAAGCAGUAUUCUUGCUAGAGAUCGACGACGUUAAUUUCCUUGUAAUUAUCUGAUGACAAUUAAUAAUUAAUUAAUCAACGUUGACUGAAGCCGAUCGA
This is an RNA transcript of Oryza brachyantha (malo sina), 1757 nucleotides long. RefSeq lists it as uncharacterized. The transcript has 10 exons. NCBI's taxonomy places the organism in Eukaryota, Viridiplantae, Streptophyta, Magnoliopsida, Poales, Poaceae. The record is from RefSeq and is a predicted model, not a curated record.